RNAcentral lists this unclassified non-coding RNA (171 nucleotides) under uncultured Herpotrichiellaceae. RNAcentral's name for it is "sequence contains ITS1". The record is from RNAcentral. Lineage: Eukaryota; Fungi; Ascomycota; Eurotiomycetes; Chaetothyriales; Herpotrichiellaceae.
CCGAGUUAGGGUCUUCCAGGCCCGACCUCCAACCCUUUGUUGACUAUACCAUGUUGCUUUGGUGGGCCCGCCUUUAGGGGCCGCCGGGGACUUUCGCCCCUGGUCAGUGCCCGCCAGUAGCCUUCUUAAAUUCUUGUAAUUAUGUCGUCUGAGUAUAGAUAUAAAUCGUUA